Molecule: non-coding RNA, 47 nt
Filed under: marine eukaryotic metagenome
Description: serC leader
Rfam family: serC leader
About the family: This family is a putative regulatory RNA structure that is found upstream of the serC-serA operon in some alpha-proteobacteria. The final stem of the structure overlaps the ribosome binding site of the serC reading frame.
Source: RNAcentral
GUGGGACAUCCCUCCCCAACGAGGGACAUAUAUCUGUGAGGAUACGA